This 462-nucleotide ribosomal RNA is filed under the name uncultured bacterium. RNAcentral describes it as "partial 16S ribosomal RNA". It matches the Rfam family "Bacterial small subunit ribosomal RNA", at positions 28 to 507 of the family's 1533-position model. The record is from RNAcentral.
GACGAACGCUGGCGGCGUGCUUAACACAUGCCAGUCGAACGGAAAGGCCCUUCGGGGUACUCGAGUGGCGAACGGGUGAGUAACACGUGGGUGAUCUGCCCUGCACUUUGGGAUAAGCCUGGGAAACUGGGUCUAAUACCGAAUAGGACCACGCGCUUCAUGGUGUGUGGUGGAAAGCUUUUGCGGUGUGGGAUGGGCCCGCGGCCUAUCAGCUUGUUGGUGGGGUAAUGGCCUACCAAGGCGACGACGGGUAGCCGGCCUGAGAGGGUGACCGGCCACACUGGGACUGAGAUACGGCCCAGACUCCUACGGGAGGCAGCAGUGGGGAAUAUUGCACAAUGGGCGCAAGCCUGAUGCAGCGACGCCGCGUGAGGGAUGACGGCCUUCGGGUUGUAAACCUCUUUCAAUAGGGACGAAGCGCAAGUGACGGUACCUAUAGAAGAAGCACCGGCCAACUACGUG